UGGGGAAUUUUGGACAAUGGGCGCAAGCCUGAUCCAGCCAUGCCGCGUGCGGGAAGAAGGCCUUCGGGUUGUAAACCGCUUUUGUCAGGGAAGAAAUCUUCUGAGUUAAUACCUCGGGGAGGAUGACGGUACCUGAAGAAUAAGCACCGGCUAACUACGUGCCAGCAGCCGCGGUAAUACGUAGGGUGCAAGCGUUAAUCGGAAUUACUGGGCGUAAAGCGUGCGCAGGCGGUUUUGUAAGACAGAGGUGAAAUCCCCGGGCUCAACCUGGGAACUGCCUUUGUGACUGCAAGGCUUGAGUGCGGCAGAGGGGGGAUGGAAUUCCGCGUGUAGCAGUGAAAAUGCGUAGAUAUGCGGAGGAAACACCGAUGGCGAAGGCAAUCCCCUGGGCCUGCACUGACGCUCAUGCACGAAAAGCGUGGGGAGCAAAACAGGAUUAGAUACCCCUGGUAGUCCACGCCCUAAAACGAUGUCAACU
This 478-nucleotide ribosomal RNA is filed under the name uncultured bacterium. RNAcentral describes it as "partial 16S ribosomal RNA". It matches the Rfam family "Bacterial small subunit ribosomal RNA", at positions 355 to 817 of the family's 1533-position model. The record is from RNAcentral.